RNAcentral lists this long non-coding RNA (248 nucleotides) under Elaeis guineensis (African oil palm). Its description in RNAcentral is "long non-coding RNA (EGUI_LNC058358)". Lineage: Eukaryota; Viridiplantae; Streptophyta; Magnoliopsida; Arecales; Arecaceae. The record is from RNAcentral.
GCAUCCCCUUUGUAGGUGUGAAUACAGGUGGCGCCAGUGGAGGGAGAAUCCUAGUCCAACUAUGAUUCUUUUUAAGUAUAGAUUUAAAUCUGAUUUAAAUAUAUUUUAAUUCUAACCAAUAUAGGAUUAGAUAGCACCUAAAUCAAUCUAAUUCUUAGUCUAAUUAUAAACUCAAUUAAAUCUGAAUUGAAUCCUAAUCUAAUUAGAAAAUUGAUUCAAUCAAGUCCUAGUCAAAGUAGGAAUUGUUC